Dermacentor andersoni is the source of this 432-nucleotide long non-coding RNA. RefSeq lists it as uncharacterized. Lineage: Eukaryota; Metazoa; Arthropoda; Arachnida; Ixodida; Ixodidae. The record is from RefSeq and is a predicted model, not a curated record.
AUUGUCAAGAUGAAGUUGGCAGCAGCUAUCGUGAUCAUCACGCUACACCAUUCUUUUGCUACAGCUGUUUUCAGUAAAGUCGGCAAGCUCAAAUUUCGAAAUAGAACAUGCAUCUACACUCUGGGAGAUCCACGAAAUCCAUACAAAUUGGGAAACAGUGUUGAGCUGAGGUUACAGCAUCCUUGUAUAAGCGUCUACUGUAACAUCACUUCUCGUUCACUGACCGUAUUAGGGUGUCCUCCGCCCCAAAACUACAAAAAUGAAGACACAAAUCCAUAUUGGCCAAACUGCUGCAAGAAAAAGAACUGAGCUAUUGUGGUCUCAAAGCGCAUACGUUACUUCUGAGUCAUCUGAAACUAAUCUAGUGGUGUACUACGAUUUGAUUUUUGAAAUAAUGCGAAAGUUGGACGAAUGUACAAUAAAGCCGCCGUU